RNAcentral lists this ribosomal RNA (721 nucleotides) under uncultured archaeon. Its description in RNAcentral is "bacterial SSU rRNA". It matches the Rfam family "Archaeal small subunit ribosomal RNA", at positions 102 to 817 of the family's 1478-position model. The record is from RNAcentral.
GGACAACCUGCCCUCGAGGUGGGAGGAUAACCCCGGGAAAACUAGGGCUAAUCCCCCAUAGGGGGAUGGGGUACUGGGAAUGUCCCAUCUCCGAAAGCGCUUAGCGCCCGAGGAUGGGUCUGCGGCGGAUUAGGUUGUUGGUGGGGUAACGGCCCACCAAGCCGAAGAUCCGUACGGGCCAUGAGAGUGGGAGCCCGGAGAUGGACCCUGAGACACGGGUCCAGGCCCUACGGGGCGCAGCAGGCGCGAAACCUCCGCAAUGCGGGAAACCGCGACGGGGUCAGCCGGAGUGCUCGCGCAUCGCGCGGGCUGUCGGGGUGCCUAAAAAGCACCCCAUAGCAAGGGCCGGGCAAGGCCGGUGGCAGCCGCCGCGGUAAUACCGGCGGCCCGAGUGGCGGCCACUUUUAUUGGGCCUAAAGCGUCCGUAGCCGGGCUGGUAAGUCCUCCGGGAAAUCUGGUCGCUUAACGAUCAGACUGCCGGAGGAUACUGCCAGCCUAGGGACCGGGAGAGGCCGAGGGUAUUCCCGGGGUAGGGGUGAAAUCCUGUAAUCCCGGGAGGACCACCUGUGGCGAAGGCGCCCGGCUGGAACGGGUCCGACGGUGAGGGACGAAGGCCAGGGGAGCGAACCGGAUUAGAUACCCGGGUAGUCCUGGCUGUAAACGAUGCGGACUAGGUGUCACCGAAGCUACGAGCUUCGGUGGUGCCGGAGGGAAGCCGUUA